Molecule: ribosomal RNA, 732 nt
Filed under: Salmonella enterica
Lineage: Bacteria; Pseudomonadati; Pseudomonadota; Gammaproteobacteria; Enterobacterales; Enterobacteriaceae
Also listed under: 3 other names
Description: bacterial LSU rRNA
Rfam family: Bacterial large subunit ribosomal RNA
Source: RNAcentral
ACCCUUUAAUGUUUGAUGUUCUAACGUGGACCCGUAAUCCGGGUUGCGGACAGUGUCUGGUGGGUAGUUUGACUGGGGCGGUCUCCUCCUAAAGAGUAACGGAGGAGCACGAAGGUUGGCUAAUCCUGGUCGGACAUCAGGAGGUUAGUGCAAUGGCAUAAGCCAGCUUGACUGCGAGCGUGACGGCGCGAGCAGGUGCGAAAGCAGGUCAUAGUGAUCCGGUGGUUCUGAAUGGAAGGGCCAUCGCUCAACGGAUAAAAGGUACUCCGGGGAUAACAGGCUGAUACCGCCCAAGAGUUCAUAUCGACGGCGGUGUUUGGCACCUCGAUGUCGGCUCAUCACAUCCUGGGGCUGAAGUAGGUCCCAAGGGUAUGGCUGUUCGCCAUUUAAAGUGGUACGCGAGCUGGGUUUAGAACGUCGUGAGACAGUUCGGUCCCUAUCUGCCGUGGGCGCUGGAGAACUGAGGGGGGCUGCUCCUAGUACGAGAGGACCGGAGUGGACGCAUCACUGGUGUUCGGGUUGUCAUGCCAAUGGCACUGCCCGGUAGCUAAAUGCGGAAGAGAUAAGUGCUGAAAGCAUCUAAGCACGAAACUUGCCCCGAGAUGAGUUCUCCCUGAGACUUUAGGUCUCCUGAAGGAACGUUGAAGACGACGACGUUGAUAGGCCGGGUGUGUAAGCGCAGCGAUGCGUUGAGCUAACCGGUACUAAUGAACCGUGAGGCUUAACCUUACA